UACGUAGGGUGCAAGCGUUGUCCGGAAUUAUUGGGCGUAAAGAGCUCGUAGGCGGUUUGUCGCGUCGAAUGUGAAAACCCGGGGCUCAACCCCGGGCCUGCAUUCGAUACGGGCAGACUAGAGUUCGGUAGGGGAGUCUGGAAUUCCUGGUGUAGCGGUGGAAUGCGCAGAUAUCAGGAGGAACACCGGUGGCGAAAGCGUUCUGCUAGGCCUGUACUGACACUGAGGGACGAAAGCUAGGGGAGCGAAUGGG
RNAcentral lists this ribosomal RNA (253 nucleotides) under uncultured bacterium. Its description in RNAcentral is "partial 16S ribosomal RNA". It matches the Rfam family "Bacterial small subunit ribosomal RNA", at positions 524 to 776 of the family's 1533-position model. The record is from RNAcentral.